AAGGAUGGGACAUCUGUAGGGGGACCCCCAGCAAUCUCUGUCACAUCUGCUUUCUUUUUUCUAAUUUGAAAAUGGAAAACUGAUUCACAAAGAGGGAAAACUCCCCUAAAUUUACCUGGCCAACACCUACUCAUCCCUCUUGUGUCAACUUAAAAGUCACUUCCUCCGAGAAGCCUGCCUGGGGUUUUCCCCUUCCUUUCCUUCACCCCCGGUGGCCCCCAUCUAAAGGAGGUGUCCCUGUUACAUUCUGUCAACAGCUCUCCUCUCCGAGCGUUUCAACUUACCAGAGCUGAAAUUAAUGACUCACCGAUGUGACUGUGUGUGUCACGUCUGCCUCCAGAAUGGUUCUCUGAGCUCUGUGAUGACAAGGACUGAAUCUGUCAUGGUCACACGGACCCUUGCCCUGACAAAGCAAAGAACUGAUGAUUCCUUUGGUAGGCUGUGAUUGCUACCGCUUUUCUGCCGCCUAGAAUGUUUUUCUCCCACCCCUCCUGAUAAUACAUCGUGCUCCACCCCCAUGUCCAUGGUGAGAAACAAGUUUUCUUUGGAGCCAUCUUCACCGGCUGCUGAUAGAAGAAAGAACUGCUGAGAUGAAUAAAGAGAGAAGGAGCAGGAAGCAGGAUAUCAAGUGGAGGACUAGACUGCUUGAUUCAGUAUGGUUGUCCAUACAGAUGUGUACCCCGAAUAGUAAGGGCCUGCUUUUAUUCCUGUUUGUUACCUCUUCCUCUUUCACAUCCAUCAUGUUCCCAGUCUUCCUAUGAUGGAUAAUUGACCUAAUUAAGAGCAUAAAAGGUAAGAUUAAAGGAAUGAUUUUAAGACUCUGCCCGAUUAGUCACCAUUCCCUCCAGCUAACCAGUUCCCAAGUCCUGUUGACUUUUGACAUUCUAAAUAUUUCUCAACCUGUUCUCUGCUCUCUCUGCUCUUUCCUCUGCUGCUCGAUUCAGAUCAUAACCAUUUCUCAUCUUAUUUAUGCAAGUACAUUGCAACUGGAUUCUACCUCUCUUUCCUUCAAUCCUUAACUUCAUCUCUCACAAUCAGAAUCACUUUUCAAAUACGCAAAGCCGCUUUAUCCCUCUAGUGAAAAUCCUUCUGAGCUUCUUUUUAGCUUACAGGCAAAGUCCAAAGUGGCAUUCAGAGCCUUUCUGGUUCUGGCUCCUG
Odocoileus virginianus texanus is the source of this 1158-nucleotide non-coding RNA. NCBI's taxonomy places the organism in Eukaryota, Metazoa, Chordata, Mammalia, Artiodactyla, Cervidae. The record is from RefSeq and is a predicted model, not a curated record.